This 459-nucleotide ribosomal RNA is filed under the name uncultured Treponema sp. Its description in RNAcentral is "partial 16S ribosomal RNA". It matches the Rfam family "Bacterial small subunit ribosomal RNA", at positions 341 to 792 of the family's 1533-position model. Lineage: Bacteria; Pseudomonadati; Spirochaetota; Spirochaetia; Treponematales; Treponemataceae. The record is from RNAcentral.
ACGGAAGGCAGCAGCUAAGAAUAUUCCGCAAUGGGCGAAAGCCUGACGGAGCGACGCCGCGUGGAUGAUGAAGGCCGGAAGGUUGUAAAAUCCUUUUAUUACAGAGGAAUAAGUACUGCAGGGAAAGCCCAUGCGAUGACUGUAGGCCAUGAAUAAGCACCGGCUAAUUACGUGCCAGCAGCCGCGGUAACACGUAAGGUGCGAGCGUUGUUCGGAAUCAUUGGGCGUAAAGGGCAUGUAGGCGGUCUGUCAAGCCAGGCGUGAAAGCCAGGGGCUCAACCCCUGAACUGCGCUUGGAACUGGCGGACUGGAGUCGCUGAGGGGGAACCGGAAUUCCUGGUGUAGGGGUGAAAUCUGUAGAUAUCAGGAAGAACACCGAUGGCGAAGGCAGGUUUCCAGCAGACGACUGACGCUGAGGUGCGAAGGUGCGGGGAGCAAACAGGAUUAGAUACCCUGGUA